Molecule: long non-coding RNA, 443 nt
Filed under: Androctonus crassicauda
Lineage: Eukaryota; Metazoa; Arthropoda; Arachnida; Scorpiones; Buthidae
Source: RNAcentral
CUGUUAAUUGCUAAUAAACAUUAUUAAAAUAGGAAGAACUAAGUGAUAUUUCUCGUCUUCGUCGUUAUUGGUUUAAAUAUGACGAUUUUUCUAGAGGAAAACUUUUGGUAUACAGAUUAUCAGCUUAUUGAAAAUGAUCGCUAUAGAAUAAAUAUUACUGAUAUCAUAAAAGAUUUUCACAGACAGCAAUGCAAUAUUUCGCAUAAAUAUUCGAUUUAAAUGAAAUACAUAUACAUAAGGGGUGCGUUUGUUUAUUGGACGGUUUUCUCACAGAGUAGACUGGUGGCAGCGGAAGUUGUUUAUUUUUUCUCGAAAAGGACACUGAUGUUUUUCGUUUUUCCCGUGACUGAGUCAAAACUAACUAUCCUUCCAAUCACGGGAAAAAUGAAACAUGUCAGUGUCAUUCUCGAGAAGAAAUGGCUUCCGCCACCACUAGUCUGAUC